UACGGAGGGUGCGAGCGUUAAUCGGAAUUACUGGGCGUAAAGCGCACGCAGGCGGUUUGUUAAGCUAGAUGUGAAAGCCCCGGGCUCAACCUGGGAUGGUCAUUUAGAACUGGCAGACUAGAGUCUUGGAGAGGGGAGAGGAAUUCCAGGUGUAGCGGUGAAAUGCGUAGAUAUCUGGAGGAACAUCAGUGGCGAAGGCGACUCCCUGGCCAAAGACUGACGCUCAUGUGCGAAAGUGUGGGNAGCGAACAGG
Molecule: ribosomal RNA, 253 nt
Filed under: uncultured bacterium
Lineage: Bacteria
Description: partial 16S ribosomal RNA
Rfam family: Bacterial small subunit ribosomal RNA
Source: RNAcentral